ACUAAAUAGAUACCCCGGUAGUCCACGCCGUAAACGAUGGAUACUAGCUGUUCGGAGCAAUCUGAGUGGCUAAAGCGAAAAGUGAUAAGUAUCCCACCUGGGGAGUACGCACGCAAGUGUGAAACUCAAAGGAAUUGACGGGGGCCCGCACAAGCGGUGGAGCAUGUGGUUUAAUUCGAUGAUACGCGAGGAACCUUACCAGGGCUUAAAUGUAGAUUGACAGGACUGGAAACAGUUUUUCUUCGGACAAUUUACAAGGUGCUGCAUGGUUGUCGUCAGCUCGUGCCGUGAGGUGUCAGGUUAAGUCCUAUAACGAGCGCAACCCCUGUCGUUAGUUGCCAGCGAGUCAUGUCGGGAACUCUAACGAGACUGCCAGUGUAAACUGUGAGGAAGGUGGGGAUGACGUCAAAUCAUCACGGCCCUUACGUCCUGGGCCACACACGUGCUACAAUGGUAGGUACAGAGAGCAGCCACUGCGCGAGCAGGAGCGAAUCUACAAAACCUAUCUCAGUUCGG
RNAcentral lists this ribosomal RNA (516 nucleotides) under uncultured bacterium. RNAcentral's name for it is "bacterial SSU rRNA". It matches the Rfam family "Bacterial small subunit ribosomal RNA", at positions 772 to 1296 of the family's 1533-position model. The record is from RNAcentral.